Molecule: ribosomal RNA, 377 nt
Filed under: Staphylococcus aureus
Lineage: Bacteria; Bacillati; Bacillota; Bacilli; Caryophanales; Staphylococcaceae
Description: partial 23S ribosomal RNA
Rfam family: Bacterial large subunit ribosomal RNA
Source: RNAcentral
GAUUAAGUUAUUAAGGGCGCACGGUGGAUGCCUUGGCACUAGAAGCCGAUGAAGGACGUUACUAACGACGAUAUGCUUUGGGGAGCUGUAAGUAAGCUUUGAUCCAGAGAUUUCCGAAUGGGGAAACCCAGCAUGAGUUAUGUCAUGUUAUCGAUAUGUGAAUACAUAGCAUAUCAGAAGGCACACCCGGAGAACUGAAACAUCUUAGUACCCGGAGGAAGAGAAAGAAAAUUCGAUUCCCUUAGUAGCGGCGAGCGAAACGGGAAGAGCCCAAACCAACAAGCUUGCUUGUUGGGGUUGUAGGACACUCUAUACGGAGUUACAAAGGACGACAUUAGACGAAUCAUCUGGAAAGAUGAAUCAAAGAAGGUAAUAAU